Molecule: ribosomal RNA, 440 nt
Filed under: uncultured bacterium
Lineage: Bacteria
Description: partial 16S ribosomal RNA
Rfam family: Bacterial small subunit ribosomal RNA
Source: RNAcentral
CCUACGGGAGGCAGCAGUGGGGGAUAUUGCACAAUGGGGGAAACCCUGAUGCAGCGACGCCGCGUGGGUGAAGAAGCGCCUCGGCGCGUAAAGCUCUGUCAGCAGGGAAGAAAAUGACGGUACCUGAAGAAGAAGCCCCGGCUAACUACGUGCCAGCAGCCGCGGUAAGACGUAGGGGGCAAGCGUUAUCCGGAUUUACUGGGUGUAAAGGGGGCGCAGACGGUGAUGCAAGCCAGGAGUGAAAGCCCGGGGCCCAACCCCGGGACUGCAUUUGAAACUGGGAGGCUAGAGUGCAGGAGGGGCAGGCGGAAUUCCUGGUGUAGCGGUGAAAUGCGUAGAUAUCAGGAGGAACACCAGUGGCGAAGGCGGCUUUCUGGACUGCAACUGACGUUGAGGCUCGAAAGCGUGGGGAGCAAACAGGAUUAGAUACCCGAGUAGUC